AAUGAGAUUGAUGUUGUAUUCUUCCUCUAGAGAUAAUCAUCCUAUAUUAAAAAUCUGUAGAAUACAGAAACAUAAGUUUUCUCAAUCUUGGAGCAACCACAGGGUAAAUGAAACUGUAGACAAUCUUAAAAGAUCCAUUUUGUAUCUAUAAUAUAUAGUACAUCAUAAAAGGAUAAUGCUAACUUGUGUAACUUUUGACGUAGCGAUUUGUGGACAUAAACUAUAUAAAAGUAAAUACAUAUGUAUAUAACUAUAAACAUGAUGACUUCGGUAACACGGGCGCUGCACCGAACGCCUUUUAAGAAACAAGGAGUAAGAAAACAAAUACAUUAAACGAGGAGUACACCAAAUAGAUUAUGAAAAUAAGGCAGUGACACAUUUUAGAAACUUGUGGAAAAUGACGAAGGAAUUUUUAGGAGACCCAAAGUUUUAACUUUAGAGCUCAAGUCAAUAACUCAACAUUAGAUGGUCAAAAUGCACAUGAGAUAUCAAAGAAAAAUAAUAGUAAUAAAUAAUAAUCAGUGAGUGUUAUAGAAAAAACCUCAGAUAAUCAUUUAUAAAAUCAAAAGUGCCGUAAACAACUCUUGUGGCUUAUAAAAGCUGCUGAUAUCUUUUAAAGCUUAUUAAAUUAGAAGUGACCAUGAACGAGUUUGUAGAAAAAUUUAAGAAAUCGGCU
Molecule: long non-coding RNA, 676 nt
Organism: Diorhabda sublineata
Lineage: Eukaryota; Metazoa; Arthropoda; Insecta; Coleoptera; Chrysomelidae
Exons: 3
Source: RefSeq, a predicted model, not a curated record